Chrysemys picta bellii (western painted turtle) is the source of this 1644-nucleotide non-coding RNA. Lineage: Eukaryota; Metazoa; Chordata; Testudines; Emydidae. The record is from RefSeq and is a predicted model, not a curated record.
CUUAAGUCAGUACUUUGUAGCUAUGGAAGUUAUACAAGCAAUUUUUUUCCUCCAGGAUCUACAUAGUCGUACUCAGAUUUUGGCAUUCUUCUCUCAUGAUAAAUAUGGAGUCUGCUUUUACAUUAAGGGGAAAGACACACUAAUAGCCUGAACUUACACAACUAAAGUCAAUAGGAGUGCUAUCAUUGACUUUAAUGGGAGUUCUGAUUGGCUCAAUUCUUAAAUUAUAAACAUUUUGACUCCACCCUCCAAGGAAACUUACUCUGCAGCUCAUGGAAUAACACUGAUCUACCCUGUAACUACUAGCCCUUGCUUCUGGAUAGUUUUGGGCACUUCAAGUAAAUUGCCUUGCUCUGUCUCUCUGUAUGUGUGCACAGACAGCAAUACAAACAAACAGAAAUCCAUUAAUUUCUCAACUGCCUCUCUCUCUGUCUCCAACCAAAUCGAAUACUACAGUGCAAACGCAUAUGAGUUACACAAGCAGAAGUCUUGGAUUGUUGUUAGUUCUUUUGUUUUUCUGGGAAGUUCUGUAACAAGGGAGAAGGAGCAGAGUGUGCAACCAGAAAGGAGCAACACGGGUGCAGAAGCACGACACUGGGGGAAGAAGAGAGAACAUUCUUCAGAGUGCAGCCUCCAUUGUUGAUUUCAACAACUGGUAACUGGAGCAAAAACUGCCAUGCAUGCAGGUCAUAAAGAAGGCCCUAUUUGGGAAUAUUUCCAAGAAAUUCCUGUACCUCUGGAUAAAAAAAAAAAACCGAACAUGUGCCAAAUGCAAACAAUACAACGAGAAGAUGUAAGGCCCGGUUGCCAGAAUGAAACAUGAAAAAUAAUCCUCAGAAAGCAAAGACUUUGAAGAUGAUGAUGUAGACAUGUCUGAACAAUCAGGAUUACGUGGAUUCACUUAUACAUAAGGAGUUAAAAACAUCCAUCAUCUGAAUGUCUACAACUUCAGAGCCAUCUGCUGGUAGCACCAGCAGUGCUGCAACUGAACAUACAUCAGACAAUAAAUUACCUAUAUUAAAAAAAACCAACAACAACAACAACAAAAACACCUUCUCUUCAACAUCCAGUAAAAUCAUGGAUGAGUUUGUAAUCAGGACCAGCUAGUCCAUCAAGACCCCAUAGACUGCUCAGUUCAUUUAUGCAACAAAUUCUCCCUUUCAUCUUGUUCGGAAUAAACUUUUCAAUGACAUGCUUCAAUAUUAAGAUGAAGGCUCCACUCGGCAGAGCAGACAUUACUGAAAGGUUGCUGGAUACAGUGUACGAGAAGAAAACUGAGCAGCGUGCAAAAAACAUUGACAAGAAAUUCUUUAAUCUGGGUCUUCAUAUAGGAAGAGCCAAUAAUUUAUGCUUGUGUGGCAACAAAAGAUGGGGUUGUCAACCUUAUAGAAACAACUGGUACCCCAGAAUACUUAAAAGUAUUAAGAAUACUUAAAAGUAAAAGUAGCAGCAGCAAAAGCUAUAACAAACUGAACAAAAAUUCAAGUGUCAAGUGCAUAGCUUUUCACAGCAGCUAUCCUUUAGUCCUAUGUUGACUAAUCUGACUGAAGAGAAAUGUAGAAGAUAUGCUAGUUCUGUAGCCUUGGACAAACUGCAGAAAGAUAGCUGCUGUAUUGCUAAUGCUGUUGACAUUUGGAAAGUCAA